AUUAGAUCAAAAUCAAUCAGACUUCGGUCUGUAAUUGUGAUGACUCUGGAUAACUUUGUGCCGACCGCAUGGCCUUGAGCCGGCGGCGUAUCUUUCAAAUGUCUGCCCUAUCAACUUUCGAUGGUAGGUGACAUGCCUACCAUGGUUGUAACGGGUAACGGAGAAUCAGGGUUCGAUUCCGGAGAGGGAGCCUGAGAAACGGCUACCACAUCCAAGGAAGGCAGCAGGCGCGCAAAUUACCCACUCCCGGCACGGGGAGGUAGUGACGAAAAAUAACAAUGCUGGGCUUCAAGUCCGGUAAUUGGAAUGAGUACACUUUAAAUCCUUUAACGAGGAUCUAGUGGAGGGCAAGUCUGGUGCCAGCAGCCGCGGUAAUUCCAGCUCCACGAGCAUGUACGUAAGUUGUUGCAGUUAAAAAGCUCGUAGUUGGAUCUCAGGCUUGUGGCCAGUGGUCCGCCCGGUACGGGUGUGUACUGCUGUGCCCGGUCUACGUCUGGUCUAUGUCCGUAGUGCUCUUAACCGGGUGUUGCGGAAUGCCAGAAGGUUUACUCUGAAAAAAUUAGAGUGCUCAAAGCA
Molecule: ribosomal RNA, 576 nt
Filed under: uncultured eukaryote
Lineage: Eukaryota
Description: SSU rRNA
Rfam family: Eukaryotic small subunit ribosomal RNA
Source: RNAcentral